Molecule: long non-coding RNA, 3809 nt
Filed under: Triticum aestivum (bread wheat)
Lineage: Eukaryota; Viridiplantae; Streptophyta; Magnoliopsida; Poales; Poaceae
Description: long non-coding RNA (TAES_LNC009031)
Source: RNAcentral
AAAGAAUGUGAUAUAUCUGUAAUGUACCCUGAAGAAAAGACACAAACAUGGCAACUAAGUUUCAAUGGGGGACAUAUUAACAAAUGUAAAAUUGGACCUUUGAUGGCAAAAUAACAUAAUUUGAUUGUCAUGAACUAUACAUUUUGGGGGUGUCCAUGAACUAUAGUUUCCUAGAAUUGCCAAGGAAAUCUAGUCCAUUAGCAUCUCAUCACCUGCAAAAAAGUGACUGCACAAAUAACUACACAAUGCUAAAUGGCGACAUCUACAAAAAUUUGCAAACAAAGAAAUUGUGGGAGCUAUUGAAACUCACUACGUUGUUGCCGUAGUCAGCUCGAGGACCAAAUAUGUGCGUCACCGUCGAGCUUGUAAUCAAGCUACCCCUGCCCCGACGGCACCGUCGCGUGGCAGAUCCCCAUCUGCACAAGGCGAUGGUGGAGCCCAGGACCACGCGGGGCGAAGGCGCGCUAGGACGUGGGGCGGGCGGAGAUCCCUUGGUAGGCACCAAACACGGGGCCGCGGCGUGGUUCUCCUCCUCGUCAUCCUUGACACACGAGUCCGUCCUCGACGUAGUCGCAUAGGCAGCGUCGGUCCGGCCGCACCGAUGUGGCGGGGUUGCGCGCCCGCGGGGCUGGUGGUGGCGCAGAAGAGCUCCAUCGGUCGAUCCAGCUGGAGCGUGAGGACGGGGCCGGCGGCGGCCGGCGGGGACGACGAGCCCAUCAAUCUCCACCCCUAGCACCUCGGCCUCUGUGACCGGCAAUCACCACGCGCGCGAGGCUCCCUCCUCCACCGUCAACACGGCGCCGCGCGCCGGCAUCUUGGCCGACUGCUGCCUCCGCCGACCACCAUCGAGGAUUCGAAUCACAGCAGCUUCACCCGCCUCUUCCCGCUCCUCGCCUCGCCGCCACACGCCUCCUCUCCUGACAUCGCACAGCUUCGGGUACGGCGCAGGCUGCAUAACUGCCGAUUGGCUCGCCGCCGGCCGCCUCGCCGCCUGCGCAAGGGCUCUCUCUCGCUCCUCUGUCCCAUGUGCGAUGAAGAAAUGGCGAGAGAGUGGGGAACGAAGAAAAGGAUAAGAGAGGUGCGGCCGUGCGUGCGUUCGGGGACGAGGCGAGUUUUUCCGAACGGGCUCAAAGCAUGACGUGGCGCCGUGGUUGCUUUAUGAUUCGUGCAGACAAUCCAACGACGCUGAGCGCGUUCGGGCUGAGAUGCGAAAACGCAGCGCAUUCGGGAGUUAUCGAUUCCGUUUGGACCGCGAUAACUGCCGAAGGUUCGGUCUGGGAGAGCCCCAGAUCGAACGAUUCGUUCGGUCAUAUUGAGGCAUCGAUUGAACGCAUGCGUUCGGGACGAGAGUCGCCCAGCCCGAACACCCUACCUCGGGAGCCUAGAGGCCUUUUUGUUGUGGAAAAAAGAAGAAGCCCAGAUUGUGCCGAUUUUUACUAUGACCAAAAAAGCCCACUAUUGGAUGUGACUAAUGAAGGCAAUUUUGCCAUGCAAUGAAAAAAAGUCACAAAAUGCUGCAAAAAUAAAAAUUUAUGAAUGAACCAUGAGAUCUCUACCCCUAUAAUAUGAAUGAACCAGAAAGAACUUCUCUGCAAAGAUGUCAAAAUGUAUGAAUUUGCCAUGGCAAUUUUUGUUGUUUACCAAUCAAAAACAUGGCAAAAUGUGCAGUGUGGAUGCAUAUGAACUUGCCAUCACAGAAAAAGUCCAAAAAAUGUCAUUAUAGAUAGAAAAUGGAAAACAAGAUACUACUAAAAGAAUCCCAAUGGUUUCAAACCAAAAAUUGCCAUCACUUUAUAAACAAUUUUGUAUCUGUACCAUGAUGGCAAGAAAAUAUUUUUUAUGCAAUGGCUCAAAAAAGAAAAAAAUAUCAUGGCAGUUUGCAUAUGUACCAUGAUGGCAAAAAAAUAUGGAUUAAAAAUUUGUAUGCUACUUUUACUAUAUAAAUUUGCCGAAGCACAAAACAAAAAAUGCACAAUCUAUUGUUUAGUAAUAAUUGUCGUGUUUUCUAUGUAUUUUUGCCAUGGCAAAAUAAAAGUAAAACUUGCCAUGCUGCAUAGAAGUAUGUUUGCCAUGAGUGACAAAAAUUAAAAUUGAAAUGGAAAUUAAAUAAAAAAAUCAUAGGAAAUAAAAGGAAAAUUUGCCACGGCAAUAAAACGUUAAUUUUGCCAUGGUGUAGAAAAAUUUAUAAUUGGCAUUCAAAAACAAAAGUAAAAUUUGCCAUGUUAAUAAAGAUCAAAUGAAUAGUAAAUCUUGCCAUGGCAAUAAAAGUUAAAAAUUGCCAUGGGAAUUUAGGUAAAUUUGCCAUGUUAAUAAAGAUAAAUUAACCAUGGCAAAAAUAACAAGUAAAACUUGCCAUGGCAAUAAAAGUUAAAUAUUGCCAUGGGGAUUUAGAUAAAUUUGCCAUGAAAAUGAAGGUGUAUUAGCCAUGGAAAAUAAAUAGUAAAACUUGCCAUGGCAAUAAAUGUUUGAUAUUGCCAUGGGGAAUUAGGUAAAUUUGUCAUGUUAAUAAAAGUCAAAUAAAUAGUAAACUUGCCAUGGCAAUAAAAGUUAAAAAAUUGCCAUGGGAAUUUAGGUAAAUUCGUCAUGUUAAUAAAGGUGAAAUAAUUAGUAAAACUUGUCAUGGCAAUAUUUGCCAUUUUGUGUUAUAAUCAAAAGCUACCAUGGCAAUAAAGCAAUGAAUUUGCCAUGAUCAGAGAACUAAAUUUGCCAUGAUCAAUAAACUAAAGUUUUAAAAGUUUAGAUGGCAAAAAGUAUAAGAUUAGUUGCCAUGGCAAGAAAGCAUGGCAAUUAAGUUUCGAUGGGGACAUAUCCAAAAAUAAAAAGUUGCCAUGGCAAGAAUGCAAUAAAUCUGUAAUUUUCCCUAAAGAAAAGACACAAGCAUGGCAACUAAAGUUCCGAUGGGGACAUAUCCAAAAUCAAAAGUUGCCAUGGCAAAAAGAAUGUGAUAUAUCUGUAAUGUACCCUGAAGAAAAGACACAAACAUGGCAACUAAGUUUCAAUGGGGGACAUAUUAACAAAUGUAAAAUUGGACCUUUGAUGGCAAAAUAACAUAAUUUGAUUGUCAUGAACUAUACAUUUUGGGGGUGUCCAUGAACUAUAGUUUCCUAGAAUUGCCAAGGAAAUCUAGUCCAUUAGCAUCUGAUCACCUGCCAAAAAGUGACUGCACAAAUAACUACACAAUGCUAAAUGGCGACAUCUACAAAAAUUUGCAAACAAAGAAAUGGUGGGAGCUAUUGAAACUCACUACGUUGUUGCCGUAGUCAGCUCGAGGACCAAACAUGUGCGACACUUUCGAGCUUGUAAUCAAGCUACCCCUGCCCCGACGGCGCCGUCGCGUGGCAGAUCCCCAUCUGCACAAGGCGAUGGUGGAGCCCAGGACCACGCGGGGCGAAGGCGCGCUAGGACGUGGGGCGGGCGGAGAUCCCUUGGUAGGCACCAAACACGGGGCCGCGGCGUGGUUCUCCUCCUCGUCAUCCUUGACACACGAGUCCGUCCUCGACGUAGUCGCAUAGGCAGCGUCGGUCCGGCCGCACCGAUGUGGCGGGGUUGCGCGCCCGCGGGGCUGGUGGUGGCGCAGAAGAGCUCCAUCGGUCGAUCCAGCUGGAGCGUGAGGACGGGGCCGGCGGCGGCCGGCGGGGACGACGAGCCCAUCAAUCUCCACCCCUAGCACCUCGGCCUCUGUGACCGGCAAUCACCACGCGCGCGAGGCUCCCUCCUCCACCGUCAACACGGCGCCGCGCACCGGCAUAUUGGCCGACUGCUGCCUCCGUCGACCACCAUCGAGGAUUCAAAUCACAGCAGCUUCACAC